GGCUAAUAAAGGAUGACUCAGUGGUGCAGCAAACUGUGCCAGCUUCCUCUUGGAGCCUGUGCACAGAGAAAUCAGGCCCAGGAUGCCAUGUGCGCUCUUGCUUUCUCCAGAAUUUGUCAUUUUAGGAGAAAACAUAAGAUUGCACCCAGGAACUUCCAAACAUUCUUUCAAACACCCUGUAAGGCUCAGUAGAUGCACCAUUGGUGCAGAAAACUUUAAGCCAGUCACUACUUUGUAACCCUCUACCCCAUGUUCCUCUUAUCUCCACUUUCCUCAGAUGGCCAGUCCUGACCUUUUCAUCACCCGAGCCACUGACAGCCUUUUUUACAUCCCUCCAAACAAAUGCAUCAAAAUCCCAGCAGCUGGGACACGUUUACAUUUGACAGGAACUCUGCAGCCCACCCGAGUCAAGCCGGAAUGGUGCACACUUCUUGGGGAUGAAAAGGAUUAGGAAACAGGGCCUGAUGCUGGUGUAAGCCCCCCGUGUACAGAAAAGGCUGGGGGAGGAGAGAUGAUGCUCUUGUGGAGAACGAGGACAGGUGGGGUCUGUAUGCCAGUGCUGCCAUCUCAGAUGCCUGUGGAGAAGAAACAAUAAAUACUAGAUAAAGUGCUUUAAGGGUUAAGAACUUCAAGGGGAGAGCCUGCACAAUCUCAAAGAAGAGAUAAUAAAGAGCGUGUAACACUAGAUCCAGCCUCUAUGUAAAGAUAAUCUACUGGAUGGAGGCUUAAUCCUAGCAAGGGCUGCAUAAAGUCUGGGAAAAAAAGGGGGUAUAGUGUGAACCCUGAAUAGUCUAAUUGAUCCCAAAAGUAGAGUUCCUUUUUAUAUGUAAAUAUCCCAUCUCCUUCCACCUCUUGAUCAUCCAGGGUCUAACCAAGGAUUUCCUAAAAAGACAUCUGCUGUCAGGAGAAAAAUCCAUCCUCUUGUAUAGAGCUCUUCUCUCUCACCUAAGGUUUCAAGCUGUGAGUUCUCUCAGUCACUUUAGUCUCAGAAGCUCAUGGACAUCCUCUGGUACUGGUGGUUGGAGCACAGCACAGACAAGAGGAUCUCUGUCCAUCACUCCAUGGCCAUGCCAGGCACAGUGACUCCAGAGCCAAAGUGGAGGAACACCAGAGAAAUCAUGGGAUUGCUUCAGGAAGUUUGUGAGUUUUGAGCACUUUCUUCUGCCUAAAGAGAGAGAACUCUGUGGCAGAAGCUGUUUAAAAUGAAGACACCACACCCUCGCUUUGGUCUGUUGUAUGACCAAGAAGAAUUACCUGAGAUCCAAGCAGACAGGCUUCUUGGGUGCUGGACACCAGCGUAAUUAAUUUUCCUGUCCUCACAGCUUUGGUUCUUCAGUGAAUGCAAGAAGAAGCACAAAAAGGCUGUGGAGCAGCCCAUGUGAACUUCCUCUUGGACAAUCCUUCCCCAAGGAAUGAUGAACCACCAGGGGCACCCUGGCUCCAAACACCACCAUCAUCAUCACCAGAGAAGCAGCAAGGUCACAGCUAAUGGUGAUGAUGCUGCCUUUCCACUCAGCCCCUUCUCCCUGGUUAAGAAACAUGGUCAGAUGGGUCACAGGAUGUGCAGGCAGCCUCAAAGCACCUGGAAUUUUCUGCUUCAGCUGCCUCUUGGCACGGAGAGGGAAGGGAAUGCCAUUCCCUGCCUAACACUAAUGUCACAGACACUGAUGGGAUUGGGUUAGGAAUUGUCUGGUCCCUUCAAGUAAGCUCCCCUUCUGGGAGACUUCUGCCUUGGACUUGCUGACAGCCACAAAGCCCCGCUCCUCCUGAGAAGAGGGGAGGUGUGAAGACAGCUCUUCACCAUCAGGGUGCCAAGAAGGGCAGUUGGAAAAGGACGGGAUGAGAAGGGUUCCUCACCACAGGAGAAGCAUUUCAGUGGUUUCCUCUCUUCCUUUUUUUGCUUCUGCUUGCUUGUCAGCUGGUUUUGCUUUCUUCAUUAUGCUGGAGGAAGGGGUGAGUUUGGGGAAAUUAGAAGCUCCACAGAACUAUCUGGAAGCCAGAAUAGGAGCCAGUCCCCUUCUUCACUCACUGUCUGCAUAGCAGAAGGCAACAAAAAUCAGCAGAUUUAAAUACACCACAGUCUGAUCUGAGGCUCACUGAAGAUCACUGACAUUAAUUAGACUUCUGCCUUGCUUCUUUCCAGCAGCUAAAAUGGCAAAGCAGGGGGAAACUGUCUAGAAAUAGAUGAUUUUACUCAUCAUAUGGAAACAGUUCAGCAAAACAGAAAAAGCAGCAGAUAUGAUUGGCCAAAUGGUCUCUGCUUGUUCUGCAGAGGUCUCACAACAUAUCCCUCUCACUUGCAUUCUAGAUGCAUGUGUUUUUCUACAAAUUGCAUUGUUACUGUAUAUUUCCUUGUCUGAAAAAUUUCCUUCAGUCAGACGAAAAUAAAAUCAAUGCUCUAGCUGAUGCUUGGAAUGAUGUGGCCCCAACACACAAACACACACAUCUGUUGUCAGAACUCUUCUGCCUUUCUUUUCCUUUCUUUUAAUACAAGUCUGGAAUCCACUGAGUGUUCUUCAAGUCUAAGCUCCAAACAUUUCAAACAGCACAAAAGGUAUGACAAGAUGAAAGAAAAUGUCCACAAAUAGACAGCUAGACAACUAGUUAGCAGCUGUCUGCUUUUCUUCAGAGUUUUUUGUGUGUGUUUUUUGUUGAGUUUGGUUUUUUUGUGGGUUUUUUUUUCCCCCUGCAGGGGGAAAAAAACCCCCAACUUUAUUUUUCAAUCUUGAAGGAACCGACUGCAGAUUCUUUUGUUCUGGCAAGACUCCAGCCCUGUUUAGCACUGGAAGUGGGGGAGGAGGUGAACUUAUGAUGCCAUGUGUAACCUUGAACCUGAGAAAUGUCUAACACAGUAUGUUAGUUGCAGCAGUUUAAAUGGCAUUGAUCAUUUUCAACUUUUGUAUUGUACUGAUCAUAACUUAAUGAGGUUUUGGUGUUCUAUCAAGUCAGAGUAUUUAUGCAGAAAAAGGAACCAAAAAGAGCAGGUUUUGAUUAAAAAUGUGUAUGGGCUUUUGGGACCUGGUUUAAAUAUUUCAGAUCUUGAGCAAGCAUGGAGCCUGCAGUUGAAGUUAUUUAUCUUCUCCCUAGACAAAUCUGGCUGGGGGGAGGGGUGGCAGCACUCAAACGCUUGAUUUUAAUUACUGUUGUUGUUUGCAAGUAUUUUUCUUCUGUCAUUUCUGUUCUCCUUCUCCCCCUAAACAGAUGAUCAGCAGACAACAUGGACUCCCGUCUAACUUGCAGAUUUAAUUUGGAAACCUGAGCAUCCAACGCAAAUAUGAAACACAAGCUGCAGUUGGAUUCUCCUCCAAAUCUUUGCUGCUCGCUCGGAGAAUUCAGUCUCUCCCUUUGUGAGGCUGGAAAACUUUCCCUUCUCACCUCCUUCUGGGUCUCUCUGUGUGUCCAUAAAUGAAUGUGUGUGUGUCUGUGUGUGUGUGUGCACAGGAGUCAGCAUGCCAGACGGCAUUCCAUAGCAGAAGGCAAUUUCUCCUUCCCCCCUUUAUUUGCACAUUUAGCAUGAGUUGCAUUCCUCCAGUACCUGAUGAAAGAAUGAAGUGAUAUUGUCAAAGGCUGGGCUGCAGGAGAUGUGUGGAAGAAGCCUUCCUUGUCUGGAUAGAUCACACAUAACCAGGCAGAGCAGAGUUUCCAUCCCACUGAAAUCAAUUUGUAUGGCAACACUUAACUCUGCAGCUCUUUCCAUUAGCAGCUUCCAAGAUAUUUUCCUUUCAUUUUUUCCCUUUCCCACCCAGUCUCUUCCCUGCACUUCCAGAUCAUAAGUUCUUCAAGACAGAGCAUUUAUUACCCUGUUCGUACAGCACCUGCUAUGUUAGUUUUAGUAGAAUGGUGAUCUCAAUUAGCAUUUUGACCAGCUUUCAUACAAAUAACAGAUAAACACACCAGGUUAACCCCAGAUCUGGGUGGCUGACAGAGGUGCUCCAGAUCCAGACUUCUCCAGAUGAAACCUGGGGCAGUGCUGGCCAGAGAGACCAAAUGGUUUUGCAUUUCACUUUAACACUGGGACAUAUUCUCCUAAGCACAGACAAACCUGAAUCCUAAGCUAGGGCUGCAGGUGGCCCUGUGGGUUUGCAAAACCCACCUUGAUCGACCCCAGAUGAGCAAUUGUUGCCAUAUCUAGCAGUGAGAACGCCUGAAAUUUGAACAGUAGCUUUUCUCAUUUGGCUACAGAUUUUUGUGUGUGACUAUUUCACCCCCUUCAGCCCAAAAGCUGAUGGGAUUUUACUCCAGUGGCCCUGCAUAAAUGCAAUCAGUCUUAACAGCUAGUGACAUCCCUCUCUGGAGGAAGAGUAAGGAUCAGGUUCAGGUUGUGGUUGUUACCCACAAGACUGAACCAUGGAGAAAACUCAAAAGUGUUGAGUUUUACCACUUAAGAGUGGUAAAUCCUUGCAGUCAAGCUGAAGGGAACCGUGGGGCUAUGCCUUGCCACCUCAUGCCUUGCUGGAAACACCAAAACCUCAAGCUCCUUGAACCAGUGAGGACUGUCUAAAAUAGAAAAAGGCAGCAAAGCACACACAGCUUUCAUUAGUCUGGGGGCCCCGUUUGUGCUUGUCAAGGUAACCCUGCAAAUAUUCACCUGCUUGAAGGGUGCCUGAGGCUCCUCCUCCCAGCUGAAGCCCUCAGGAUGUGAACAAGCAGCAGCUGAAGGCCCUUUUUCUGCUGCUUGCUGCAGUUCUUGAGCUAAGGUUUGCAGAGACAAGGAGGUCAUUGUAUUUGCAAGGGAGCCCAUGAGCUCAAGGCAAAGUCUUUUACAGAAGUGGGGCUCACGGGCACUGAUGGGGCUAUAGAUGGGUUCAAAACAAACAAAAACAGGCUUAGUGCCUGGCCUUUUCACCAGUGUAAGGAAGCACAGCCUCAUGGGACAUUACUCCAGCACCUUCCUAGCUCUGUUUAAGAAUAAGUGAUUGCAUCAGCUGUGGAGGACUGGGGAAUUGGGCCAUGAGUUAGCACAAGGUUAAAAAGACUGUGCAAAUAAAAAACUCGCUUUCAGCACAAAGGACAUCAUAGUUCAAGGCCAGAAGCUUCUCUCUGUUGUUCUGGAACUAAUUUCAAACAUGAAUCAGAAGUCUAACAUGGAGAGGUUACUGUCAAUAACCCCUUCCUGAGAGUGCCUUGUUUAAUGAGAUGUUUAACUGGGUGAUAUGAGAAUGAAUUCAUAAGCAAGUGAGGGAAAAGGUCCAUUGCUUUCUUUUCCUCAGUAAGGAAGGAACAAAGGAAAAAAGGAGACUGAACCAAGGGAGAAGAAUAGAGGAGAUGGACAACAAGUGAAAAAGAAAGAAAUUAUGUGAGCAUGCACACAAUAACAAACACUUUACCCACAAUCAGUGGCUCACCAUCAGGAAGAUGACCAUGUGCUGCUAAAAAUCAAGACCCUUGGCAAAUUCUCACAGGCAAGAGUGAAGGAUUUAGAACCCCAGCCCCAGAGGAGCCCAAUGUGCAACUGCAGGACUUGGAAAAUAAUUUUCUCCAUGGCAGUCCAGCCAGCCAGCACACCUCAGCAGAGAGUUCUGGGAUGGCCAUUGUACAUCACCCUGUAUAGCAGGAUCAUCUCUACUAUUUUUAAGCCUUCAGAGCAAAAUCUCAGCAAUUUCAGGCCACCAAAACAUUUCUUCACAGUAGUCCCUUUUCAAUCCUGUCAUCAUCAACACGUGGUAAAUGAGACAGUUCAAAAUCUCAGGCCUGGAUCUUGUACAGAUGUUUGAUAUCUAUUUCCUGUCAGGGCUCCCACUGAUAUCAACGAGCGAGGAGCUCAAAUACCUCUGUGGAGCCUGAGCCUUGGAGUGCAAGACAAAUACGUGGGAAGGAUAAAGACAAAAAAGAGAGCUGUUUCACAGCCUCCAGGCGGCUCUCAAUUAGAUGAAGGCAUUGCUCCAGCUCUGAGCCAGCCCUUUGGAGAUGCUUCAGCUGCCCACAUCUGCGUUACAGAGCUUCACUGAGGACAUUCACAGUGAGCUCCCAAGGAAAAACCCAGUGCUCAAGCAAAACACAAGUUGCCACAGAAUGUCAGGACACGGGGUCUGAAAUUUCCCCACUUUUUUUUUUUUUUCCCUGCAGGGAGUCUGUUCACAGAGCUGGUACAAAGAAGCCUUCUAGGCAUGGAAGGCUCACUGCUUUGUGUAGGCACGAAGGAAGGAGGAAACAGGACACUUCAGGUAUUUAUUUUAAAAGUCUAUCAUGCAUUUGGAUGGCUGCUGGUGCCAAAACUAAUCAUGCUAGUGGAAGAGGUACAGAAGCAGAACAAGCAAAGCAUGGAGAGCAAGUAAAAGGGAAGGAGCCUGGAAUGACAAGCAGGAAAGGUAACUCUACAGAUCAGAGGGUUUUCAAUGUGUUGCACAUGCUGCAGCCUUUUAAACAGCAUAUUAUGUCUCCUGAAACAUUUUAAACAAUAUAACAUGGUUCAAAGGUUUAAAAAUAUGGCAUGGCAUCUCCAGUGUAUAACUCUGCUGGAGCCAGAUAGUGCAUGCUGCCCUCACAAAUUCAGAGGAAGAGAAUUAAAUUUAAAGAGGAAACAAAAUGCUCAUUUUAAUCACCCAUUGUCCUUUGAGGAUCUUUUUCUGUCCCCUUCAUAGUGUAAUGCAGAGUAACAGGCAAUUGCCAUAUCCCCAGCUGAUAGUUAGGCUGCCCAGGAUCCCAGUGUUAUAAACUCCCUAUUUUCUCUGGCCUCUUUCACAGAUGCAUCUUCAUAUACACUGACAAUUGCAUCAGUGCCAUUACCUUUGGAUAGAAAAGCCCGAAAAGUUAAAUCAUUUGUAGCCAAAGGCAACAUAAUCAGCUGUCCUUAUUACUUACAGAAUACGUGGGGUUUGCACGUGGAGAAAUUACAGAGGUGCAAAGGGCUGACUAAUGAAAGUGCAGAAAGGAUGUGCACGUGAGGUAUUCGCCUCAGGAUGAGGAAGUAUGGCAUUAUCUGAAUCACACUGCACCCAGAAAUCAUCCCUCCCUGCUAUUUGGUGUCCUUCAAGAAACAAAUCCCACCCACAAGGCUUUUAAUGGACUCUGGCAAGGGGCUUCAUUAACUGAGGUUUCAAGGCAUCCAAAAUACUUUGUGCAGGCCCAGCCAUCUUUUUACCCAGGUAUAAAUUGCAAUGGGUGCAAACUGCAAACUGUACUGCUUUGAGAGGAAGGGGAAAAAAAAGAGAUGACAACCAACACCAUCAAGAAAGAGAGCACAAAACUGACUCCUGGUACCUGCUUGACAAGAGUCCUUGUAUUCAGAGCCAGUGAAUUGAAGCAGAUGGACAAUUGUGGCAAUUCACCCAUGCAUCCUGAUUCUCAUUUAUCCAGUCCUCUUCUCAGUGCAGACUGGAAAAGCUCAGUGCUCAAGGUGAGCAGUUAAACCAUUGGGCAUGCCCUGAGGAACACACCUGGAGCACUUGUGAAUGACUGUGUGCAAUAACACCUCCUAAUCUCUCUUGGAAAUGCACUCAAGUCAAUCAGACCUUUCUCUUGCACACUUCUGGUCAGCAGGCUGCUCCAGAACCUCCUUCAAGUACUUAAGCAUCUUCACCUAUUUUCCAGAGGAAAAAGAAAAUCUCUACAGUGAGCAUGUAGCAAUUUCUUCCUGUCUUAGUUCAGUUCUUCAUUAAAACAUUUCCUGCCUCAACUAUCCCCCUCGCCCUGCUAUACUUAAAUUCAACA
Molecule: long non-coding RNA, 7650 nt
Organism: Passer domesticus (house sparrow)
Lineage: Eukaryota; Metazoa; Chordata; Aves; Passeriformes; Passeridae
Exons: 4
Source: RefSeq, a predicted model, not a curated record